UACGAACCGUCCAAACGUUAUUCGGAUUCAUUGGGCUUAAAGGGUACGUAGGCGGCGCUAUCAGUCGGGUGUGAAAUCCCUCGGCUCAACCGAGGAACUGCGCCCGAUACUGUAGUGCUUGAGGGAGUCAGAGGUAAGCGGAACUGAUGGUGGAGCGGUGAAAUGCGUUGAUAUCAUCAGGAACACCGGUGGCGAAAGCGGCUUACUGGGUCUCUUCUGACGCUGAGGUACGAAAGCUAGGGGAGCGAACGGG
This 253-nucleotide ribosomal RNA is filed under the name uncultured bacterium. Its description in RNAcentral is "partial 16S ribosomal RNA". It matches the Rfam family "Bacterial small subunit ribosomal RNA", at positions 524 to 776 of the family's 1533-position model. The record is from RNAcentral.